RNAcentral lists this ribosomal RNA (466 nucleotides) under uncultured bacterium. RNAcentral's name for it is "partial 16S ribosomal RNA". It matches the Rfam family "Bacterial small subunit ribosomal RNA", at positions 28 to 507 of the family's 1533-position model. The record is from RNAcentral.
GACGAACGCUGGCGGCGUGCUUAACACAUGCAAGUCGAACGGAAAGGCCCUGCUUGCAGGGUACUCGAGUGGCGAACGGUUGAGUAACACGUGGGUGAUCUGCCCUGCACUUCGGGAUAAGCUUGGGAAACUGGGUCUAAUACCGGAUAGGAACCAUCUUUAGUGUGGUGGUUGGAAAGUUUUUUCGGUGUAGGAUGAGCUCGCGGCCUAUCAGCUUGUUGGUGGGGUAAUGGCCUACCAAGGCGGCGACGGGUAGCCGGCCUGAGAGGGUGUACGGCCACAUUGGGACUGAGAUACGGCCCAGACUCCUACGGGAGGCAGCAAUGGGGAAUAUUGCACAAUGGGCGCAAGCCUGAUGCAGCGACGCCGCGUGGGGGAUGAAGGCCUUCGGGUUGUAAACUCCUUUCGCUAGGGACGAAGCUUUGUUGUGACGGUACCUAGAUAAGAAGCACCGGCUAACUACGUG